RNAcentral lists this long non-coding RNA (229 nucleotides) under Homo sapiens (human). RNAcentral's name for it is "HSALNT0183752". The record is from RNAcentral. Lineage: Eukaryota; Metazoa; Chordata; Mammalia; Primates; Hominidae.
UGAAAUCCAGGGUGUCUACAUCCCACAGGAUUAUGGAGGGUGUAUGCAUUGUGCACUUGUCACUUAGAGACGCCUAUGGUCUGAGAAUGUUAAUUUUCCUUCGUGUCGUCGUGGUAGAGACCCAGAGAUGGCAUUUCAAGUUCCAGGAGUUAUGCAUGAACUGGCUUUCUGGAAUUAAAGCUGUCUGACUGGGACGUGUCUGAUGCAUCUAGAGAAGCUCAUGGCUCUG